Molecule: ribosomal RNA, 1345 nt
Filed under: uncultured bacterium
Lineage: Bacteria
Description: partial 16S ribosomal RNA
Rfam family: Bacterial small subunit ribosomal RNA
Source: RNAcentral
GACGAACGUUGGCGGCGUGCUUAACACAUGCAAGUCGAACGGAAAGGCCCUGCUUUUGUGGGGUGCUCGAGUGGCGAACGGGUGAGUAACACGUGAGUAACCUGCCCUUGACUUUGGGAUAACUUCAGGAAACUGGGGCUAAUACCGGAUAGGAGCUCCUGCUGCAUGGUGGGGGUUGGAAAGUUUCGGCGGUUGGGGAUGGACUCGCGGCUUAUCAGCUUGUUGGUGGGGUAGUGGCUUACCAAGGCUUUGACGGGUAGCCGGCCUGAGAGGGUGACCGGCCACAUUGGGACUGAGAUACGGCCCAGACUCCUACGGGAGGCAGCAGUGGGGAAUAUUGCACAAUGGGCGGAAGCCUGAUGCAGCAACGCCGCGUGCGGGAUGACGGCCUUCGGGUUGUAAACCGCUUUCGCCUGUGACGAAGCGUGAGUGACGGUAAUGGGUAAAGAAGCACCGGCUAACUACGUGCCAGCAGCCGCGGUGAUACGUAGGGUGCGAGCGUUGUCCGGAUUUAUUGGGCGUAAAGGGCUCGUAGGUGGUUGAUCGCGUCGGAAGUGUAAUCUUGGGGCUUAACCCUGAGCGUGCUUUCGAUACGGGUUGACUUGAGGAAGGUAGGGGAGAAUGGAAUUCCUGGUGGAGCGGUGGAAUGCGCAGAUAUCAGGAGGAACACCAGUGGCGAAGGCGGUUCUCUGGGCCUUUCCUGACGCUGAGGAGCGAAAGCGUGGGGAGCGAACAGGCUUAGAUACCCUGUAGUCCACGCUGUAAACGGUGGGUACUAGGUGUGGGGUCCAUUCCACGGGUUCCGUGCCGUAGCUAACGCUUUAAGUACCCCGCCUGGGGAGUACGGCCGCAAGGCUAAAACUCAAAGGAAUUGACGGGGCCCCGCACAAGCGGCGGAGCAUGCGGAUUAAUUCGAUGCAACGCGUAGAUCCUUACCUGGGUUUGACAUGGAUCGGGAGUGCUCAGAGAUGGGUGUGCCUCUUUUGGGGUCGGUUCACAGGUGGUGCAUGGCUGUCGUCAGCUCGUGUCGUGAGAUGUUGGGUUAAGUCCCGCAACGAGCGCAACCCUUGUUCACUGUUGCCAGCACGUUAUGGUGGGGACUCAGUGGAGACCGCCGGGGUCAACUCGGAGGAAGGUGGGGAUGACGUCAAGUCAUCAUGCCCCUUAUGUCCAGGGCUUCACGCAUGCUACAAUGGCUGGUACAGAGAGUGGCGAGCCUGUGAGGGUGAGCGAAUCUCGGAAAGCCGGUCUCAGUUCGGAUUGGGGUCUGCAACUCGACCUCACGAAGUCGGAGUCGCUAGUAAUCGCAGAUCAGCAACGCUGCGGUGAAUACGUUCCCGGGGCU